RNAcentral lists this transfer RNA (75 nucleotides) under Lysobacter sp. Its description in RNAcentral is "tRNA-Cys". It matches the Rfam family "tRNA". Rfam says of the family: Transfer RNA (tRNA) molecules are approximately 80 nucleotides in length. Their secondary structure includes four short double-helical elements and three loops (D, anti-codon, and T loops). Further hydrogen bonds mediate the characteristic L-shaped molecular structure. tRNAs have two regions of fundamental functional importance: the anti-codon, which is responsible for specific mRNA codon recognition, and the 3' end, to which the tRNAs corresponding amino acid is attached (by aminoacyl-tRNA synthetases). tRNAs cope with the degeneracy of the genetic code in two manners: having more than one tRNA (with a specific anti-codon) for a particular amino acid; and 'wobble' base-pairing, i.e. permitting non-standard base-pairing at the 3rd anti-codon position. Lineage: Bacteria; Pseudomonadati; Pseudomonadota; Gammaproteobacteria; Lysobacterales; Lysobacteraceae. The record is from RNAcentral.
ACGGCGUUAGCUCAGCGGCAAGAGCGGCGGACACAGGUUCGCAGGUCGCCGGUUCGAGUCCGGUACGUCGUGCCA